RNAcentral lists this ribosomal RNA (253 nucleotides) under uncultured bacterium. RNAcentral's name for it is "partial 16S ribosomal RNA". It matches the Rfam family "Bacterial small subunit ribosomal RNA", at positions 524 to 776 of the family's 1533-position model. The record is from RNAcentral.
UACGUAGGGUGCAAGCGUUGUCCGGAAUUAUUGGGCGUAAAGAGCGUGUAGGCGGCCCGAUUAGUCCGCUGUGAAAGUCCAGGGCUCAACCCUGGAAUGCCGGUGGAUACUGUCGGGCUAGAGUCCGGAAGGGGCGAGUGGAAUUCCUGGUGUAGCGGUGAAAUGCGUAGAUAUCAGGAGGAACACCGGUGGCGAAGGCGGCUCUCUGGACGGUGACUGACGCUGAGACGCGAAAGCGUGGGGAGCAAACAGG